Molecule: ribosomal RNA, 301 nt
Filed under: uncultured bacterium
Lineage: Bacteria
Description: partial 16S ribosomal RNA
Rfam family: Bacterial small subunit ribosomal RNA
Source: RNAcentral
CAGUCGCCGCGGGAAUACGGAGGGAGCUAGCGUUGUUCGGAAUUACUGGGCGUAAAGCGCACGUAGGCGGUUACUCAAGUCAGAGGUGAAAGCCCGGGGCUCAACCCCGGAACUGCCUUUGAAACUAGGUGACUAGAAUCUUGGAGAGGUCAGUGGAAUUCCGAGUGUAGAGGUGAAAUUCGUAGAUAUUCGGAAGAACACCAGUGGCGAAGGCGACUGACUGGACAAGUAUUGACGCUGAGGUGCGUAAGCGUGGGGAGCAAACAGGAUUAGAUACCCCCGUAGUCCCUGUCUCUUAUAC